AAGAGCUUGCUUGUGGUCCACAAGAAGCACCGCCGCCGCCGGAACCCCGCCGGACCUCGCCGCUGUCCAAAGCCUUAGUCCUUCCGUCCAAGUCUGCUCCUUCCUGACCCCAAGCUUCACGUGUAAGACGAAGGUAAGCUGCCGACCCUUUUUCCACCUCGUCUGACCCCUUCUAUCCGCCCGACCCCUGUUCCGUCUCGC
RNAcentral lists this long non-coding RNA (201 nucleotides) under Setaria viridis. RNAcentral describes it as "long non-coding RNA (SVIR_LNC001829)". The record is from RNAcentral. Lineage: Eukaryota; Viridiplantae; Streptophyta; Magnoliopsida; Poales; Poaceae.